UACGGAGGGUGCAAGCGUUAUCCGGAUUCACUGGGUUUAAAGGGUGCGUAGGUGGGCAGGUAAGUCAGUGGUGAAAUCCCCGGGCUUAACCCGGGAACUGCCGUUGAUACUAUCUGUCUUGAAUGUCGUGGAGGUGAGCGGAAUAUGUCAUGUAGCGGUGAAAUGCUUAGAUAUGACAUAGAACACCAAUUGCGAAGGCAGCUCACUACACGAUGAUUGACACUGAGGCACGAAAGCGUGGGGAGCAAACAGG
Molecule: ribosomal RNA, 253 nt
Filed under: uncultured bacterium
Lineage: Bacteria
Description: partial 16S ribosomal RNA
Rfam family: Bacterial small subunit ribosomal RNA
Source: RNAcentral